GCACAAUGGGCGCAAGCCUGAUGCAGCCAUGCCGCGUGUAUGAAGAAGGCCUUCGGGUUGUAAAGUACUUUCAGCAGUGAGGAAGGCAGGUACGUUAAUAGCGUGCUUGUUUGACGUUAGCUGCAGAAGAAGCACCGGCUAACUCCGUGCCAGCAGCCGCGGUAAUACGGAGGGUGCGAGCGUUAAUCGGAAUUACUGGGCGUAAAGCGCAUGCAGGUGGUUUGUUAAGUCAGAUGUGAAAGCCCGGGGCUCAACCUCGGAAUUGCAUUUGAAACUGGCAGACUAGAGUACUGUAGAGGGGGUAGAAUUUCAGGUGUAGCGGUGAAAUGCGUAGAGAUCUGAAGGAAUACCGGUGGCGAAGGCGGCCCCCUGGACAGAUACUGACACUCAGAUGCGAAAGCGUGGGGAGCAAACAGGAUUAGAUACCCUGGUAG
This 434-nucleotide ribosomal RNA is filed under the name uncultured bacterium. RNAcentral describes it as "bacterial SSU rRNA". It matches the Rfam family "Bacterial small subunit ribosomal RNA", at positions 366 to 793 of the family's 1533-position model. The record is from RNAcentral.